This 114-nucleotide transfer RNA is filed under the name Candidatus Bathyarchaeota archaeon. Its description in RNAcentral is "tRNA-Leu". It matches the Rfam family "tRNA". From Rfam's summary of the family: Transfer RNA (tRNA) molecules are approximately 80 nucleotides in length. Lineage: Archaea; Thermoproteati; Candidatus Bathyarchaeota. The record is from RNAcentral.
GCGGGAGUUGCCAAGCCAGGUCAAAGAGACCCUUCGAUCACGGGUCUUGGAAGCGCAGGCCUGAGGCGCCUGUCCCGUAGGGGUUCGUGGGUUCGAAUCCCACCUCCCGCACCA